GACGAACCGUGCAAACGUUGUUCGGAAUCACUGGGCGUAAAGCGUAUGCAGGCGGAUGAGUAAGUAGGAAGUGAAAGGUUGGAGCUCAACUCUAACACGGCUCCCUAUACUGCUUGUCUUGAGUGCCGGAGAGGACAAGGGAACUUCACGUGUAGCGGUGAAAUGCGUUGAGAUGUGAAGGAACACCAAUGGCGAAAGCACUUGUCUGGACGGAAACUGACGCUGAGAUACGAAAGCCAAGGGAGCGAACAGG
This 253-nucleotide ribosomal RNA is filed under the name uncultured bacterium. Its description in RNAcentral is "partial 16S ribosomal RNA". It matches the Rfam family "Bacterial small subunit ribosomal RNA", at positions 524 to 776 of the family's 1533-position model. The record is from RNAcentral.